GACGAACGCUGGCGGCGUGCUUAACACAUGCAAGUCGAACGGAAAGGCCCUGCUUUUGUGGGGUGCUCGAGUGGCGAACGGGUGAGUAACACGUGAGUAACCUGCCCUUGACUUUGGGAUAACUUCAGGAAACUGGGGCUAAUACCGGAUAGGAGCUCCUGCUGCAUGGUGGGGGUUGGAAAGUUUCGGCGGUUGGGGAUGGACUCGCGGCUUAUCAGCUUGUUGGUGGGGUAGUGGCUUACCAAGGCUUUGACGGGUAGCCGGCCUGAGAGGGUGACCGGCCACAUUGGGACUGAGAUACGGCCCAGACUCCUACGGGAGGCAGAAGUGGGGAAUAUUGCACAAGGGGCGGAGGCCGGAUGCAGCAACGCCGCGGGCGGGAGGACGGCCUUCGGGUUGUAACCCGCUUUCGCCUGUGACGAGGCGGGAGUGACGGAAAUGGGUAAAGAAGCACCGCCUAACUACGU
This 467-nucleotide ribosomal RNA is filed under the name uncultured bacterium. RNAcentral's name for it is "partial 16S ribosomal RNA". It matches the Rfam family "Bacterial small subunit ribosomal RNA", at positions 28 to 506 of the family's 1533-position model. The record is from RNAcentral.